Small nucleolar RNA from Acomys russatus (golden spiny mouse), 132 nucleotides. RefSeq annotates it as small nucleolar RNA SNORA17. NCBI's taxonomy places the organism in Eukaryota, Metazoa, Chordata, Mammalia, Rodentia, Muridae. The record is from RefSeq and is a predicted model, not a curated record. The transcript has a single exon.
CCAGCCCCUACAGGCAUUGCAGGUAUGGCUGCCGUGUCACAUGUGCAUCAGUAGGUGGCAGCUAGGAGAGAGGCAGUUUUUAUGUUCAGCAUUCAGACUCAUGAACAUUUGAAUGAUUAAUAGCCUAACAUU